UAAGCAAAAGCAACUCAUUACAAACCUAUUGUGAGCUUGCUAAUUAAUGAUUUUUCCCUAGAACACACGAAGUUCUUUGUUCUUAAGUAGUGUUCUAAAAAUCGACCGCCCAGACCGCCUAAGCGGCGCCUAGGCCCUAGGCAGCUGAUCUCCGCCGUGAUUAAUGCCCAAUCAGUGGAGGUGGGCAGUUGGGGUUUGGGUCGCUGUUUAGGUGGCCUAGGCGGUCAACUAGGCGGCUGGGAGAUAGGGGUUUGGGCGAUCUUUUAGGCGGUCGACUGGGCAGCUAGGUGGUCUAAGCGGACUGGCCUCGGCUGUUGGUUUUGCUUUGGAUUCAUUUCGGCACAGACGGUGGUCCGAUCUAUCCCUGACUCUCUCUUGAAUGGAGGUGGAGGAGAUGUACCAAAAAACCUCAUACUCCAAGGUGUACGAAUCUCCAUAAUGUCAUCUAGAAAGGCUUCAGUCACUAGAGCAGGAGGGUCAUUCAGGAUACAGAGACCUUGAGAGUCUUGGAUACUGUUUUUUGCCAACAGAUCUGCGACCAGAUUUCAUCAUCGAUGCACAUGCUACAUAUGGAUGGUGGUAAAAACGACUGAAAAGACAUCUUCCUGUUGCCGCAGGUUAACCAAGACUUCAGAAUGUGACUCCACCUGAAGAUUAAAAAUGUUUCGGAAACUACCCCAAGGCUUCAGCAUGUAAAACAUCCCCUAGCACCACUAUUAAGCAUAAAACCACUAUGCCAAGAUCCAGCACUAUCUCUAAUGGCACCACUUGCACCAGUUAGUCUAGUACUAGAUCUUGAUCCAUCAAACAUUCAAUUUAAAAUGACCAGAAGGUGGCUCAUGCCAAGAGAGAUGCUCAGUUUGCACACAUUUCUAAGCACAGAAUUAGCAUUAGCACGAUUCCAUUCAUUAGCAAAACUGAAGAUGAUGUCAGUUAUAUUGUAAGGAUAGGUAAAGGAGACGUCAAAUACAAAAGACAUUACAAUUCAACUGCUUCAUAAAGUAAGCUUUUUGCUGCAAGUUUGUUAGAA
Rosa chinensis is the source of this 1030-nucleotide long non-coding RNA. RefSeq lists it as uncharacterized. The record is from RefSeq and is a predicted model, not a curated record. Lineage: Eukaryota; Viridiplantae; Streptophyta; Magnoliopsida; Rosales; Rosaceae. The transcript has 2 exons.